GACGAACGCUGGCGGCGUGCUUAACACAUGCAAGUCGAACGGAAAGGCCCUGCUUUUGUGGGGUGCUCGAGUGGCGAACGGGUGAGUAACACGUGAGUAACCUGCCCUUGACUUUGGGAUAACUUCAGGAAACUGGGGCUAAUACCGGAUAGGAGCUCCUGCUGCAUGGUGGGGGUUGGAAAGUUUCGGCGGUUGGGGAUGGACUCGCGGCUUAUCAGCUUGUUGGUGGGGUAGUGGCUUACCAAGGCUUUGACGGGUAGCCGGCCUGAGAGGGUGACCGGCCACAUUGGGACUGGGAUACGGCCCAGACUCCUACGGGAGGCAGCAGUGGGGAAUAUUGCACAAUGGGCGGAAGCCUGAUGCAGCAACGCCGCGUGCGGGAUGACGGCCUUCGGGUUGUAAACCGCUUUCGCCUGUGACGAAGCGUGCGUGACGGUAAUGGGUAAAGAAGCACCGGCUAACUACGUG
This 468-nucleotide ribosomal RNA is filed under the name uncultured bacterium. Its description in RNAcentral is "partial 16S ribosomal RNA". It matches the Rfam family "Bacterial small subunit ribosomal RNA", at positions 28 to 507 of the family's 1533-position model. The record is from RNAcentral.